Molecule: ribosomal RNA, 429 nt
Filed under: Chloroflexota bacterium
Lineage: Bacteria; Bacillati; Chloroflexota
Description: Chloroflexi bacterium partial 16S ribosomal RNA
Rfam family: Bacterial small subunit ribosomal RNA
Source: RNAcentral
UGGGGAAUAUUGCACAAUGGGCGCAAGCCUGAUGCAGCCAUGCCGCGUGUGUGAAGAAGGCCUUCGGGUUGUAAAGCACUUUCAGCGGGGAGGAAGGCGAUAAGGUUAAUAACCUUGUCGAUUGACGUUACCCGCAGAAGAAGCACCGGCUAACUCCGUGCCAGCAGCCGCGGUAAUACGGAGGGUGCAAGCGUUAAUCGGAAUUACUGGGCGUAAAGCGCACGCAGGCGGUCUGUCAAGUCGGAUGUGAAAUCCCCGGGCUCAACCUGGGAACUGCAUUCGAAACUGGCAGGCUAGAGUCUUGUAGAGGGGGGUAGAAUUCCAGGUGUAGCGAUGAAAUGCGUAGAGAUCUGGAGGAAUAACGGUGGCGAAGGCGGCCCCCUGGACAAAGACUGACGCUCAGGUGCGAAAGCGUGGGGAGCAAACAGG